This 253-nucleotide ribosomal RNA is filed under the name uncultured bacterium. RNAcentral's name for it is "partial 16S ribosomal RNA". It matches the Rfam family "Bacterial small subunit ribosomal RNA", at positions 524 to 776 of the family's 1533-position model. The record is from RNAcentral.
UACAGAGGUCCCAAGCGUUGUUCGGAUUUACUGGGCGUAAAGGGUGCGUAGGUGGUUGGAUAAGUCUGAUGUGAAAUCUCCGGGCUCAACCCGGAAAUGGCAUUGGAUACUAUUUGACUCGAGGGUUGGAGGGGGGACUGGAAUACUUGGUGUAGCAGUGAAAUGCGUAGAUAUCAAGUGGAACACCAGUGGCGAAGGCGAGUCCCUGGACAACUCCUGACACUGAGGCACGAAAGCUAGGGGAGCAAACAGG